GAUGAAGAACGUAGCAAAAUGCGAUAAGUAAUGUGAAUUGCAGAAUUCAGUGAAUCAUCGAAUCUUUGAACGCACCUUGCACCCUUUGGCAUUCCGAAGGGUAUGCUCGUUUGAGUGUCAUUGUACUCUCACACUCUCCGAUCCUAUGGAUUCGGGGAGCGGUGGACUUGGGUGUUGCUGCCUUUCCUUGUGGCUCACCUCAAAUGUGUCAGUGCACCUCUUGGUUGGACAUAGUACGGCGUGAUAAGUGUCUUCGCCGGCACCUCGCAAGAGGGUGGCCGAUCGGGAGCUCUGUGCUUUCAAACCGUCUUCGGACAAUUUCUGACAACUUGACCUCAAAUCGAGUAGGACUACCCGCUGAACUUAAGCAUAUCAAUAAGCGGAGGA
This 387-nucleotide unclassified non-coding RNA is filed under the name soil metagenome. Its description in RNAcentral is "partial contains 5.8S ribosomal RNA, internal transcribed spacer 2, and large subunit ribosomal RNA". The stretch from base 1 to 120 matches the Rfam family "5.8S ribosomal RNA", at positions 35 to 154 of the family's 154-position model. The record is from RNAcentral.